RNAcentral lists this ribosomal RNA (492 nucleotides) under uncultured bacterium. RNAcentral's name for it is "partial 16S ribosomal RNA". It matches the Rfam family "Bacterial small subunit ribosomal RNA", at positions 29 to 507 of the family's 1533-position model. The record is from RNAcentral.
AGUGAACGCUGGCGGUAGGCCUAACACAUGCAAGUCGAACGGCAGCACCGUAAGAGCUUGCUCUUACGGGUGGCGAGUGGCGGACGGGUGAGGAAUACAUCGGAAUCUACUUUUUCGUGGGGGAUAACGUAGGGAAACUUACGCUAAUACCGCAUACGACCUACGGGUGAAAGCAGGGGAUCUUCGGACCUUGCGCGAUUGAAUGAGCCGAUGUCGGAUUAGCUAGUUGGCGGGGUAAAGGCCCACCAAGGCGACGAUCCGUAGCUGGUCUGAGAGGAUGAUCAGCCACACUGGAACGGAGACACGGUCCAGACUCCUACGGGAGGCAGCAGUGGGGAAUAUUGGACAAUGGGCGCAAGCCUGAUCCAGCCAUACCGCGUGGGUGAAGAAGGCCUUCGGGUUGUAAAGCCCUUUUGUUGGGAAAGAAAAGCAGCAGGUUAAUACCCCGCUGUUCUGACGGUACCCAAAGAAUAAGCACCGGCUAACUUCGUG